This 109-nucleotide transfer RNA is filed under the name Candidatus Woesearchaeota archaeon. Its description in RNAcentral is "tRNA-Ile". It matches the Rfam family "tRNA". From Rfam's summary of the family: Transfer RNA (tRNA) molecules are approximately 80 nucleotides in length. Their secondary structure includes four short double-helical elements and three loops (D, anti-codon, and T loops). Further hydrogen bonds mediate the characteristic L-shaped molecular structure. tRNAs have two regions of fundamental functional importance: the anti-codon, which is responsible for specific mRNA codon recognition, and the 3' end, to which the tRNAs corresponding amino acid is attached (by aminoacyl-tRNA synthetases). tRNAs cope with the degeneracy of the genetic code in two manners: having more than one tRNA (with a specific anti-codon) for a particular amino acid; and 'wobble' base-pairing, i.e. permitting non-standard base-pairing at the 3rd anti-codon position. Lineage: Archaea; Nanobdellati; Candidatus Woesearchaeota. The record is from RNAcentral.
GGGGCUGUAGCAUAGUCUGGCUGGUGCACAUUAACUAGGUUAAGCGCUUUCGACUGAUAAUCGAAAGGUUUGUGACUCAAAGUCCCAGGUUCAAAUCCUGGCAGCCCCA